This is a long non-coding RNA of Marmota flaviventris (yellow-bellied marmot), 3034 nucleotides long. RefSeq lists it as uncharacterized. Lineage: Eukaryota; Metazoa; Chordata; Mammalia; Rodentia; Sciuridae. The record is from RefSeq and is a predicted model, not a curated record.
CGUGGCUUCAUGGCCUUACCCUGAGAGCAGCUUCCUCUCAGGGGCCCACCUCCACCUGCCCGAGGUGAGCCAGGCCCUUAGUGAAGCCUUCCCAAGGUUCUGGUGCAAUGUUCUGCUCCCCUUCACAGCGGGCACCGGCGGUCCAGCUCGUCACCCACAGGCAGAGAAGGGGAUUUGGAGGUUCUCAUGUGGAUUUUUGUCAGAUUCACUGCAGUAACAGAUAACUCCCAAGUCUGUGUGAUUGACUCCAGCAUGAAACUUGUCCUGUGCUGGUAAUCCUGGCUGCCCCGGCCCAUGGUCUUCUUCACUCUGAACCCAGGAUGAAUCUACUGCCCAUUCAAAGGGCAGAACAAUGGCAGGACCCCAUGGUGGCCCAGACUUGCCAGCAAUAACGUCGAAUUUUUCACUGAAAUUCCUUUAACCAAAACAAGUGAGAUGCCACACCUGACGCCAGUAGAGUGGGAACACACCCCUCCCAGGUGGCAGAAGAGCAGCUAAUCAGGACUGGCGCAAGGAGUGGUAGAGUUACCAUGACCGAGGAGGGAGGAGGAAGAGCACUGAAAACCAGGUGAGAAAACCGAGGGCAAGGAGUGGGCAGAGACCCCCACCUAGAGGAAGGCACUUAUGGCCAGGGCUCUCUGCGUUCCGUGUGGAAGGACAGCGUAACCAGAAGCACAAGGGUGGCACAGACCUAACGGGAGGUCUGUGUGUGUGCCAGCAACAUCUGUUGGUGAGAAAUGGUCAGAUGCCAACUGGCAAUCACUCAGCUGCAGAACAAUGGAAUGAGCCUGACGCUGGAGUCCUGGGAGCUUCAGGAACAAUGGCCAACGGGAGCUACAGGAGAGCUUGCCAGUUGGGUUCCAAGCACAUACCAAGGUUGCCUUUCAGCACAACGCCCAUCCUGGCCAAGGUGGGCAAGACAAGGUUCCUGCAAACCAGAGGGACAAAGCCCACAGCGCUCUUGAUGUGGUGGAGGGCCACAGGGUUGAGGAGAAGUCUCCUUAGGGAGCAGAGGUAGCACCUGGUUAAUUGCAGGCAACUCGGGGUUAAGUUCAGCCUCUCCCACUGAGGAGCUGUGUGACCCUUGGUAAGUUAAUUGACUUCUCCAAAGCUCAGUUCCCCAUUUGCAGGACAGGAAAGCAAUAUUCUCCAUAGAGGGUCGUGGUGAUUGAAACAGAAGAUGCCAUCAUCUUUCCCACGGUGCCCUGUCCCUAGAAGAGCUCAGCAUUGCCUCUCCUCCUAGUUCAAAGGCUGGGGACCUUCGCUGAGACAGAGGGAAAGCAGGGCUCCUGGUGGGGACCUGCCGGAGGUAUAGCUCUAGGCCUGCAUCUUGGCGGGGAUAAGGGGAGCAACGUGGCCCCCUCUUCACUGCACCAACCUGGGGUCUCAGGCUCUCAUAGCCACACCGGGGGUCACCGUGACCGCGUCUCUGCAGUUGAGCUGGUGAUAUAAGCUGAGGAAGGCCUUCUCCUGGUCACCUGCCUCCUUUCCCUUUUUCUCUUCUCCUCGCAGAUAACACUUCUGGCCUCACCAGCUCCGCCUGGCUGAUGAGCUACAUUUUUUUUUUUAUUUUAAGACCCCAUCUUAAAAUAAAAAAUACAAAGGGCUGAGGAUGUGGCUCAGUGGGUGAGCAGCCCUGGGGUCAAUCCCCAGCACCAAAAAAAAAAAAAAAAGCAAACCCUAACAUGUUGUAGGGCUUUACAUUUCCCAAAAGCGCAGUGCAGUGACAUUUUUGCAGCCCCAUCUGCUCUUCAUAAUCCAGCUGCUGCCACAUCAAGACACGGGGAUCCUUCCAGACCCUGCCAAAGAUGGGGAUGGGAUUCUCGGCUCCUGGACAGAGGAGCACAGCAAGGAUAGUGUGGCUUCCACCCUGGGGCAGCCCCCACCUGGCUUCCUCUCUUUUGAGAAGACCAGCCAACAGGCUGUGAGGAGGUACACACUAACCUGUAUCCAGAGACACGUGGGAGGCCUGCCUGGAACAGCAUUCAUUCAGCCUGGAACAGCAUUCAGCCUGGAACAGCAUUCAGCCAGCAUCCACCACCUCCCUGGUGCCAACCUCCAGCUGCGCCAUGUCCCCAUUACGGUUUGUCCCCUCUGAAACUCAUGCUGAAGCCCAGUCCCCAUGGUGAAUGUCAAGAGGGUGGAAAAUUAAUGGCCCACGGAGUUAGGGGAGGGGUCUGAGGAUUACAUAAAGUCAUCUGGUAGAGCCCUCAGGGUGGAAUCCUGGUGGCCCGGGAGAGGGUCAGAGGAAAUGUGCACAUGUGAGCCCCCACUGCUCCUCUCUGCCAUGUGAGGCUGUGCCCUCCAGAGCCUGCCAGCAGGAAGGCCACCCCAGAGCCAGCCCCUCACUGUCUGGACUUUCACCCUCUAAAGCAGGAGCUAAAUGAACCCCCCUUCUUUACAUUUUGCCCGGUCUGUGGUGUCGUGUCCCUAGCCACAGAAGAUGGACUGAGACAGCCGAGACCCCAGACGUCACGGGAGCUGUCUAGAGUCAGGACCCACAGAAAGUGUGAGCAACAUAAGGGGCUACGCCUGCCCAGCACUGGGGGACAGUGCGCCACCCACCCUGGCAACUCAAAGAAGUGGUUCUGGGUGGAGGAGCAGACCCAGGGGUGGGGGGAAGCCCCCUGAAUGCAGUUGCUUUGUGUAUUUGACCUUGAACACGACCGUUUUUAUGAUUAUACAACAAAACUUAAUUCUUGGCAACCUCUGAAAACUAAAAGCAAAGUCGAGGAAAUGUAUGGAAUUAGGUAUCGGGAAGAUUGCUUAACCACAGAGAGCAUUAUUUCAAGUGACUUUAAAACAUCGCUUUGACUGCGUUUCCUAAUGGACACAUCCUAAAGCAAAAAACAAAAACAAAAAUCCCUGCAAAGCAUAUUAAACUGCUUUCAGUUUCCAUUUUGUAAUUAUAUAGCAUUGUUAUCGUGUAGUUAAAUAAAUUAACGAAACAAACAAAGUGAUGAUAUUAAUGCUACUGGGGGUGUUAUAAGAGAAUGGAAAUAUAAAAAUAAAAUUAAACAAAUUUAGAAAUGAA